AGAGUUUGAUCAUGGCUCAGAAUCAACGCUGGCGGCGUGCCUAACACAUGCAAGUCGAACGCGAAGAUCCCCGCAAGGGGAUUUGUAGCGUGGCAAACGGGUGAGUAACACGUGGGUGACCUGCCUUCGAGCGGGGGAUAACGUCCCGAAAGGGACGCUAAUACCGCAUGACAUCCUGCCUUUGAAGAGGUGGAGAUCAAAGCUGAGGAUCGCAAGACUUAGCACUCGAAGAGGGGCCCGCGCCUGAUUAGCUAGUUGGUGAGGUAACGGCUCACCAAGGCAACGAUCAGUAUCCGGCCUGAGAGGGCGGACGGACACACUGGGACUGAGACACGGCCCAGACUCCUACGGGAGGCAGCAGUGGGGAAUUGUUCGCAAUGGGCGCAAGCCUGACGACGCAACGCCGCGUGGAGGAUGAAGAUCUUCGGGGUCGUAAACUCCUUUCGAUCGAGACGAACGGCUUCCGUGCUAAUCAACGGAAGAGUGACGGUACCGAGAG
Molecule: ribosomal RNA, 499 nt
Filed under: uncultured Acidobacteriota bacterium
Lineage: Bacteria; Pseudomonadati; Acidobacteriota
Description: bacterial SSU rRNA
Rfam family: Bacterial small subunit ribosomal RNA
Source: RNAcentral